Molecule: small RNA, 1201 nt
Filed under: Pan troglodytes (chimpanzee)
Lineage: Eukaryota; Metazoa; Chordata; Mammalia; Primates; Hominidae
Description: retained intron
Source: RNAcentral
CUGUGUCUCUCCAGGGCUGUUUCUUCAUCUGCAAAAUGGGGAGGGUGUGAUGGCUCACUGGGCAGGGAGGACCCCGUGAGUUUCGAACAGUCCGUGUGGCUCACACACAGUGUUGAGGAAAACCAGCCCAUCCUUAUUAUCAUUCCCAGUCCAAAUGCCCUUUCCUCCUCGACCUGCUCCCAGGCCACCCUCCCGGACAGCCGCUCUGGGGGAAGAUGAGCACGGGAGGAAAGUGAGAGCAGGACUCAGCACUGGGAAGAGGGAGCAGGAGGGGGACUUUGGCAGGCAGUGGGGAGAGCUUAUGGGCAGAGUCCAAGUGCCUUUCCUGCAGCCUCUGGCCACCUGGAGCUCGGAUGGUGGGGCUGUGCUGAGUCUGACUCCAGAAACCCUCAUCCCAGCUGUGCUCAGGGGGGUAGAUAACAAGUUCCACUUUCCCUCUCCAGUUCUCUUCUGGGAGGUGGGUACCCCAGGCUUCGGGGGAUGACGCCCAGGGGUGAGGGUUGCUCAGGGGCAGGCUGAGGAGGAUCACAAUUAGGAAAGAAUCCUAGCAGACCCCCAGGCAGAAGAGUCAGGAAGGAGUAGACCCUGGUGUUUUGAACUCAGCACUUGUCCGGGCAGUGUGGGAAAGGGGGGCCCGGCGCGGGGAGGCGCCCUGGGAAUGUUCCCAAGGGCUCCACCGGUGUCGCUGGGGUUCCCAGGCAUAGGUUUUGGUGGGAAAAGGGUCGGGGAAGGCAGUGACUAGGUCUCUGUGCCUUUGUUUUAGGCUGGAAGUUAAAUCCAGUGGUCGGCGCAGUCUACGGGCCUGAAUUCUAUGCAGUGACGGGGUUCCCCUACCCCACCACCGGCACAGCCGUUGCCUACCGGGGCGCACAUCUUCGGGGCCGGGGCCGGGCCGUGUAUAAUACAUUUCGGGCAGCGCCACCCCCACCCCCCAUCCCGACUUACGGAGCGGUCGUGUAUCAGGAUGGAUUUUAUGGUGCUGAGAUUUAUGGAGGCUACGCAGCCUACAGAUACGCUCAGCCCGCUGCAGCGGCGGCAGCCUACAGCGACAGUUACGGCAGAGUCUACGCAGCUGCCGACCCGUACCAUCACACCAUCGGGCCCGCGGCGACCUACAGCAUUGGAACCAUGUGAAACCUUCCACCGUUUCCUUCUCGGACCAUGAAGGGCAAAAACAAAAAAACAAAAAAAAUCACAAAAC